Cynocephalus volans (Philippine flying lemur) is the source of this 146-nucleotide small nucleolar RNA. NCBI's taxonomy places the organism in Eukaryota, Metazoa, Chordata, Mammalia, Dermoptera, Cynocephalidae. The record is from RefSeq and is a predicted model, not a curated record.
CUUCAGUGAUGACACGAUGACGAGUCAGAAAGGUCACAUCCUGCUCUUGGUCCUUGCUAGUGCCAUGGUCUGUGGUGCUGUGCAUGGAUUCCUUUUGCAGAAGUGUCCUGUUCGUUGAUUGAUUUAGAGGCAUUUGUCUGAGAAGG